AAUGUAUACUUUUUAGUAAAAGUAUUUUUAGUAUAAACAUGUCCUAUCCAAUGUUUGGGACAUACUUAUACUAAAAAGUGAUUUUUAUUAUUUAUCUGAAAUUCAA
This 106-nucleotide microRNA precursor is filed under the name Chlorocebus sabaeus (green monkey). RNAcentral's name for it is "miRNA (ENSCSAG00000024805.1)". The stretch from base 25 to 76 matches the Rfam family "mir-1302 microRNA precursor family". The record is from RNAcentral. Lineage: Eukaryota; Metazoa; Chordata; Mammalia; Primates; Cercopithecidae.